GAUGAACGCUGGCGGCGUGCCUAAUACAUGCAAGUCGAGCGAACGGACGCGAAGUUUGCUCCUCUGAUGUUAGCGGCGGACGAGUGAGUAACAAAUGCGUAACCUACCUAUAAGAUAGGGAGAACUUCGAGACAGCGUAGCUAAUACCGGAUACUAUUUUGAUCCGCAUGGUUCAACAGUGAAAGACGGUUGUGCUGUGCUAUCUAGAUGGAACCGAGCUGCAUUAGCUAGUUGGUAAGGUAACGGCCUACCAAGGCAAGGAUGCAUAGCCGACCUGAGAGGGUGAUCGGCCACACUGGAACUGAGACACGGCCCAGACUCCUACGGGAGGCAGCAGUAGGGAAUCUUCCGCAAUGGGCGAAAGCCUGACGGAGCAACGCCGCGUGAGUGAUGAAGGUCUUCGGAUCGUAAAGCUCUGUUAUUAGGGAAGAACAUAUGUGUAAGUAACUGUGAACAUCGUGACGGUACCUAAUCAGAAAGCCACGGCUAACUACGUG
Molecule: ribosomal RNA, 497 nt
Filed under: uncultured bacterium
Lineage: Bacteria
Description: partial 16S ribosomal RNA
Rfam family: Bacterial small subunit ribosomal RNA
Source: RNAcentral